CCACCUGAUGUGGGUCGUGUGGGCUGUGGGCUGUGGAGACAGACUGUACCUAUUACAUGGCGAGAAAGUGACAUCCUUGCCGAGAUCGCUGUUGGGAAAUCCGCUUGUUUGAUUUACAGGUGGGAAGAGGGCUGUGCUGCCUCCGGGGGCCGGGGGAGGGGGGUCCUGGGGCUGCUGCACCCGUCCACGGCCCUAGGAUGUCAUUUGGAAUCCUGAGAAAACAGCUGCCACCUGGCCCUUAAGGAGCCAACCACAUAGCAGGGCCACGUCUUGGGGGUUGCUAGCAGGGGGGUGGGGGGUGAGCUCCUCCACGUUCGUGCGCGUGACAAAACCGUGCUCCUUCUUCCUUAAACAGUGUUUCCUGGUUAUUUCCUCUUGCUUGCUGCUGGCUCAAAGCCUAAAGCCACUUGUAUAACUGGGCAGCCUCAGGCCGCGUGUGCCCACGGGGGUCUCAGGCCUAGGACCCAAAUUACCACCUGGGCAUCAAAGAGCGGAGAGGACUCAGUCCUCAGUCUAGAUAAGAAAAAGGCUGGUUUUCCCUCUAACUGGAGAUGCCAAGACACGGCCCCACUGGGGAGCAGAGUCCUGUCCCCUGGGGGCCCCAUGUGCAAGCAGGACGUCCUGGAGUAGCAGGACAGGGUGAAAUGGGCCGGGUGUCCUGUGUGUCCCCCAGCAGGCCUGGCCUGGCCCCCUUCCUCCCAUACCUGCCGGGGGGGGGGGGGGGCGUGCCCAAGGGCUUCCCAGUUUUAAUUAGAACCCAGCACACCAGGAAGCAACUCUGAGUACAGACAGCCAGCUGGUUGCUCCCUCGGAAAUGACUGCAGGCGGUGACCAGAUGAGGGGCUCUGAGCAACCCCCCCCCCCGCCCCAGGGAAAGGAAGCCGGUGGCCUGCACAGGCGCCCCGCUGGCCCGGACCGGGCGGCCUGGUCUCAGCCCCCCGCAGCCCUUCCUGAGCUGGCAGACAAGCCUGCUCUCUUCCAGGGAGAGGGAGGCGGCUCUUUGUUUAUGCGGCUCAGCCAGGUUGCCCGGCCCACUCACUGCUCUGCAAUCGAGAGCAGUAAAAAGCAAAAAGCUAUAAAAUUCAGAACAAGCCAUCUGUAGAAGAACAGCUUCUUAUCACACCCCGGGAAGGCGCAGCGUUUGCGAUAGGAAUCAGUAUGUGCAAGCCCUCUACAUUGAAAACCUAUGAAAACAUCAGCCUUUCCGGAGUGUCUGGCUCCUGCCAGCUGGAUGUUAAUUGUAGCUGAAGCCUCUGCCCGUUAUUACAAAAGGAAAUAAACAUCCAGGAGUCGUUUUCAAAGCA
Lynx canadensis (Canada lynx) is the source of this 1304-nucleotide long non-coding RNA. RefSeq lists it as uncharacterized. The transcript has 2 exons. The record is from RefSeq and is a predicted model, not a curated record. Lineage: Eukaryota; Metazoa; Chordata; Mammalia; Carnivora; Felidae.